ACGUGCUUACCUUUUGUCAUUACAAGAUAUGCGUCGAUCUAUAGUUUUGCAUCAAUACUAGUGCGGGCUGCGGCAAAACUAACAAACAAUUGCAGUGACGAGAAUAGAGCAUAAUAAUACUUUUUUUUUUCUGUGCACAAAGAAUAUAGCUUUCCCAGUUUCAGUGCGGAACGCCGGAGCAGCAAAUCCUCAUCUAUUUGUCUCUCUUUAGAUUGAUUCUUCUCCUUCAAACCGGGCCAAAUCUAUGGGCAUACCGCAUACA
Molecule: long non-coding RNA, 262 nt
Filed under: Sorghum bicolor (sorghum)
Lineage: Eukaryota; Viridiplantae; Streptophyta; Magnoliopsida; Poales; Poaceae
Description: long non-coding RNA (SBIC_LNC018232)
Source: RNAcentral